Molecule: ribosomal RNA, 354 nt
Filed under: uncultured Pseudomonas sp.
Lineage: Bacteria; Pseudomonadati; Pseudomonadota; Gammaproteobacteria; Pseudomonadales; Pseudomonadaceae
Description: bacterial SSU rRNA
Rfam family: Bacterial small subunit ribosomal RNA
Source: RNAcentral
UCUGACACAGGUGCUGCAUGGCUGUCGUCAGCUCGUGUCGUGAGAUGUUGGGUUAAGUCCGUAACGAGCGCAACCCUUGUCCUUAGUUACCAGCACGUUAUGGUGGGCACUCUAAGGAGACUGCCGGUGACAAACCGGAGGAAGGUGGGGAGUGACGUCAAGUCAUCAUGGCCCUUACGGCCUGGGCUACACACGUGCUACAAUGGCGGUACAAAGGGUUGCCAAGCCGCGAGGUGGAGCUAAUCCCAUAAAACCGAUCGUAGUCCGGAUCGCAGUCUGCAACUCGACUGCGUGAAGUCGGAAUCGCUAGUAAUCGUGAAUCAGAAUGUCACGGUGAAUACGUUCCCGGGCCUU